GUGGGGAAUUUUCCACAAUGGGCGAAAGCCUGAUGGAGCAACGCCGCGUGUGUGAUGAAGGUCUUCGGAUCGUAAAGCACUUUCGACUGGGACGAAACACCCUUGGCUAACACUCAAGGGCUUGACGGUACCAGGAGAAGAAGCACCGGCUAACUCUGUGCCAGCAGCCGCGGUAAUACAGAGGGUGCAAGCGUUGUUCGGAAUUAUUGGGCGUAAAGCGCGUGUAGGCGGCAUAGCAAGUCGGGUGUGAAAGCCCUCAGCUUAACUGAGGAAGUGCGCCCGAAACUGCUGUGCUUGAGUGCCGGAGAGGAUGGCGGAAUUCCCCAAGUAGAGGUGAAAUUCGUAGAUAUGGGGAGGAACACCGGUGGCGUAGGCGGCCAUCUGGACGGUAACUGACGCUGAGACGCGAAAGCGUGGGUAGCAAACAGGAUUAGAUACCCUAGUAGUCC
Molecule: ribosomal RNA, 449 nt
Filed under: uncultured bacterium
Lineage: Bacteria
Description: bacterial SSU rRNA
Rfam family: Bacterial small subunit ribosomal RNA
Source: RNAcentral